UCGCAUCUGUGCAUGCAGCAUAUCAAUAAGCGGAGGAAAAGAAACUAACAAGGAUUCCCUUAGUAACGGCGAGCGAAGCGGGAAGAGCUCAAAUUUGAAAUCUUAUAGGGUUUCCCUUGACGAAUUGUAGUUUAAAGAAGUGUUUUCUGCUGAAGUUUUGGUAAAAGUUCUUUGGAAUAGGACAUCAUAGAGGGUGAGAAUCCCGUAUUUGACCAUUUACUUUUCAGCUUUGUGAUACACUUUCAAAGAGUCGGAUUGUUUGGGAAUGCAGUCCAAAAUGGGUGGUAAAUUUCAUCUAAAGCUAAAUAUUGGCGAGAGACCGAUAGCGAACAAGUACCGUGAGGGAAAGAUGAAAAGAGACUUUGAAAAGAGAGUUAAACAGUACGUGAAAUUGUCAAAAGGGAAGCGUUUGACACCAGUGUUGUUUUUCUGAAAAUCAAUUAAAGAACUGUUUAUGCUAAACUUGUUUAGACUUUAUCAGCUAACUGUUUAGUUUUGAGCUUUUCUUUAAUGCACUUUUCAGUUAACAAGUCAACAUCAAUUUCUUUUGCUGUAAAAAAGCUUGAGGAAGGUGGCUUGAGAUUCGUCUUAAGUGUUUAUAGCCUCUUGCCUAUGCAGUCGGAGAGAUUGAGGUCUGCAGCGUAGAUCCUUCGGGGCUAAAUGCAUUUGUGCUAAGUUAUAGCAUUUUAUAGACAACUUGUUGACUAUGAUUUGUCUUGUAGCUUACUCGCUUAUGUUAUUUUACCUACGCUUAGGAUGUUGAUAGUCACAGCGUGUAC
This 779-nucleotide ribosomal RNA is filed under the name uncultured Neocallimastigales. Its description in RNAcentral is "partial large subunit ribosomal RNA". It matches the Rfam family "Eukaryotic large subunit ribosomal RNA", at positions 24 to 643 of the family's 3401-position model. The record is from RNAcentral. Lineage: Eukaryota; Fungi; Neocallimastigomycota; Neocallimastigomycetes; Neocallimastigales.